GGCUUGGUAGCUCAGUGGUAGAGCGUAGGACUGAAAAUCCUUGCGUCGCCGGUUCAAUCCCGGCUCAAGCCACCA
Molecule: transfer RNA, 75 nt
Filed under: Orientia tsutsugamushi
Lineage: Bacteria; Pseudomonadati; Pseudomonadota; Alphaproteobacteria; Rickettsiales; Rickettsiaceae
Also listed under: 8 other names
Description: tRNA-Phe
Rfam family: tRNA
About the family: Transfer RNA (tRNA) molecules are approximately 80 nucleotides in length.
Source: RNAcentral